RNAcentral lists this ribosomal RNA (253 nucleotides) under uncultured bacterium. Its description in RNAcentral is "partial 16S ribosomal RNA". It matches the Rfam family "Bacterial small subunit ribosomal RNA", at positions 524 to 776 of the family's 1533-position model. The record is from RNAcentral.
UACGAAGGGGGCUAGCGUUGCUCGGAAUCACUGGGCGUAAAGGGCGCGUAGGCGGCCGAUCAAGUCAGGGGUGAAAGCCCAAGGCUCAACCUUGGAAUUGCCUUUGAUACUGUUCGGCUAGAGACCGGAAGAGGUUAGUGGAACUGCGAGUGUAGAGGUGAAAUUCGUAGAUAUUCGCAAGAACACCAGUGGCGAAGGCGGCUAACUGGUCCUUGACUGACGCUGAGGCACGACAGCGUGGGGAGCGAACAGG